CUAUCAAGAGAAGACAAUUUAUUGAGCAGUGUUCUAUUUUUAGAAAUAGAAGAUCACCCAUAUGAUUGCCAAAGAAGCAAGAAGCCCAAAUCAAAACAUGGGAGAACAAAGAAAUUUGACUUUGCUCACCACUACCACUUUAAAUUAUUCACAGUGCAUGGCUGAUGGAAAAGAUAUUGCCUGUCCUGCAGCUUUAAAGUAUGCUUCUCUUCUAUGGGAACCCAAGUCUUCAGAGGGUCUCUGUGGGAUAUAAAAUUUAAAACUUACAGUGAAAAGGGAAAAACUUGUUGAAUGUUUACAAAAAUGUGAGUUCCUUGAUGCAUUUUCUAUAUUUAUUUAUGGGUUUGUGAGAAUUCUUUUUGUUUCGUGGUUGGUUUGGUUUUGGUUUUUGUAGGAUGAAAUAAAGGUAAUUCUUGACCAAGAAAAAUAAAUGCCAACUUUCUUCAAUCUAACUGGGAAAAAUACUAUAAAUUAAGUAGUAGUCAUAGAUUAAGGAGCUGUUUUUUUUUCUUUGCAGUCAUAAAUAGAAGUGUGCCCCAUGGCUGAAUUAUUAUUCACUGGCAUAGUAAAAUUGCUUUGGCUUAUUCAGAACAUCUCUCGGGAGCUUGAAGCCUAGGACAGAUAACAAGCCCUCCAAUCAAAGAGACAGAGGCUACUGAAGGUUCUGAUGAAAUGUGAGCUAAAACAACCUCUGCAUAUCUGACGAUGAGUUGCUUACUAAUGAGCUUUUUCUUGAAGGGGCAUGAGAAUGAUGGAGUGGAGUUCAAAGAAUGCAGUGAAUGGAGGAAAUGGAGAGAAUUCAUCCCUCCCCUUGGUGGGUGCUGAAUGGACACUCAAGCUUGCCCUAUGGAGAAGAGUCAAAAGGCAUCCCAAAGGUGUGGCAAAACAAUGGCAUAAUAUCACACGUUGGUAGCUGUGGUACAGCAGAAAUUAUAUUGACAAAACUAACCCCAAAAUCUUGUGCUUCACUGUCCUGGUGUGGACAAGAGAAUCUGAACUGA
Molecule: long non-coding RNA, 1001 nt
Filed under: Monodelphis domestica (gray short-tailed opossum)
Lineage: Eukaryota; Metazoa; Chordata; Mammalia; Didelphimorphia; Didelphidae
Description: lncRNA (ENSMODG00000049749.1)
Source: RNAcentral